RNAcentral lists this ribosomal RNA (253 nucleotides) under uncultured bacterium. RNAcentral describes it as "partial 16S ribosomal RNA". It matches the Rfam family "Bacterial small subunit ribosomal RNA", at positions 524 to 776 of the family's 1533-position model. The record is from RNAcentral.
UACGGAGGGUGCAAGCGUUAUCCGGAUUUACUGGGUUUAAAGGGUGCGUAGGUGGUUCUGUAAGUCAGUGGUUAAAUCUCCGAGCUUAACUCGGAAACUGCCAUUGAUACUAUAGGUCUUGAAUUAUCUGGAGGUGAGCGGAAUAUGUUAUGUAGCGGUGAAAUCCUUAGAUAUGACAUAGACCACCAAUUGCGAAGGCAGCUCACUACGGAUAUAUUGACACUGAGGCACGAAAGCGUGGGGAUCAAACAGG